Non-coding RNA from Triticum aestivum (bread wheat), 131 nucleotides. Lineage: Eukaryota; Viridiplantae; Streptophyta; Magnoliopsida; Poales; Poaceae. The record is from Rfam.
AUAGUACUCCCUCCGUUAAAAAAUAUUUGUCUUUAAAAUGAAAAAAGGGAUGUAUAUAGAACUAAAAUACAUCUAAAUACAUCCUCUUUAUCAUUUUGACGACAAGUAUUUUCGAAUGAAGGAAGUAGUAG